CAGCAGCCGCGGGAAUACGGAGGGAGCUAGCGUUGUUCGGAAUUACUGGGCGUAAAGCGCGCGUAGGCGGUUACUCAAGUCAGAGGUGAAAGCCCGGGGCUCAACCCCGGAACUGCCUUUGAAACUAGGUGACUAGAAUCUUGGAGAGGUCAGUGGAAUUCCGAGUGUAGAGGUGAAAUUCGUAGAUAUUCGGAAGAACACCAGUGGCGAAGGCGACUGACUGGACAAGUAUUGACGCUGAGGUGCGAAAGCGUGGGGAGCAAACAGGAUUAGAUACCCCAGUAGUCCCUGUCUCUUAUAC
This 301-nucleotide ribosomal RNA is filed under the name uncultured bacterium. Its description in RNAcentral is "partial 16S ribosomal RNA". It matches the Rfam family "Bacterial small subunit ribosomal RNA", at positions 509 to 807 of the family's 1533-position model. The record is from RNAcentral.